GCCGGUUUAGCUCAGUCUGGUAGAGCAACUGAUUUGUAAUCAGUGGGUCGCGGGUUCGAAUCCUGCAGCCGGCACCA
RNAcentral lists this transfer RNA (77 nucleotides) under Undibacterium sp. YM2. RNAcentral describes it as "tRNA-Thr". It matches the Rfam family "tRNA". Rfam says of the family: Transfer RNA (tRNA) molecules are approximately 80 nucleotides in length. Their secondary structure includes four short double-helical elements and three loops (D, anti-codon, and T loops). Further hydrogen bonds mediate the characteristic L-shaped molecular structure. tRNAs have two regions of fundamental functional importance: the anti-codon, which is responsible for specific mRNA codon recognition, and the 3' end, to which the tRNAs corresponding amino acid is attached (by aminoacyl-tRNA synthetases). tRNAs cope with the degeneracy of the genetic code in two manners: having more than one tRNA (with a specific anti-codon) for a particular amino acid; and 'wobble' base-pairing, i.e. permitting non-standard base-pairing at the 3rd anti-codon position. RNAcentral also lists the same sequence under 1 other name. The record is from RNAcentral. Lineage: Bacteria; Pseudomonadati; Pseudomonadota; Betaproteobacteria; Burkholderiales; Oxalobacteraceae.